UUAUAAUUCUAAAUAUCAAUUUUGAAGUUGUUAUAUCUUACUCCUUCUGUACCAAUAUACUCCUAAUUUAACUGGAAUUAGGAGUUGAGGGUGGAGAUGAAACAGGUACCCGGGCUCAAGGUUUUUUAACUAAAAAUGACAUGUUCAUAGUUUAAAAGACCAUAGCAGCAAAUCAACGAUACUUGACACUUUAUUACUUCUCAAAUAGUUUAAUAUUCAAAAGAAGAUACCCAAGGUUAAAGAUUUCCAAGAAAAAAAUUUGAUUGUGUUUUGAAAAGUUGAAGGACAAUUCAUAUUAUUCUUUGGAGUCUAAUUGUGAACAUUGUUUUUGAUCAUAUCAUCGGAGGAGUGAUAAAAUGAUGAUUUGUGUCCUAAAGUAGAAUGCCGUUUCUGAAAAAUGAAUUUCUCUCUGACUUUUAUGGUGUGAAAACCUUCCGUUCUUGAUUGUGCUUGCUAUCUCUAGAAGAAUAUGUGACUGUACAGAGGACAAUGAAGAAUUGAUAAGUAGAAUGUGGAAGUGCAUAAGUGGUGCAAGGAAGUAAGAUGUGGAGGUGUAGUUAGAAGUUUGGGGGGAAGAGCUCUUUGUGUAGUUACAGACUUAAAGCAGAUGAACAACAACAACAAGGGUGAUGAACGACGAGGGUUAUGACACCAAAUUCGUAAAUCACUUAAAGUGGUUGGCACAUGCUGUGAAUGGCUAACUUACUUUCAAACAUUAUAGCUUAAUUAUAACAGUGCAAGUUAGCAGAGAUCUUUAGAUAAACAUUUUUAGUAUUCGGACUUCGUAGGGAUGAUUUUCAGUUAAUGGUCUUACACGGGACCUAUAAGAAAAUGAUCAAGCGGGUCUUCUGGUGAAGGUUCUACUUCUUUGACUAACUGCUUUUUUGAUUUGGUUCAUUGUGCCCCUGUUUUGAUCAUCUAUUGAUAAGUAACCCUAUGUGGAGAACUCCAACCUUUUGAUUUACUUCUUUAUAUUUUGCUUUAAUUGUUUACCAAUAAUGACUGAUGCAGAAUACAAAGGCAUUUUGUCAGUAAGAAGGAUUGUUAUGCUGAUUUGGAAGUUUUUGAUCGCCUCAAUGUUCUAGAUUUACAGGUAUAGAUGUGUCAUUUUCUUUUUAAGUUGCUUCAAACAAUUUUUGCUUUAACCACAUGGGAUCAUUUAUCGAGUAUUAAACAACUCUAGAGAUGAAUAUGAAGAUCACUAUUUACUCAUUUUAAACCUCUUAUUUAAUGGAGCAAAUACUGGAGGUAGUAUACGAAUCCUAAUUGUUCCAAAAUACACCGCAUUCUGCUAUCUUACUCUGUCGGUAUUAUAUAAGUACUGUUAAUUCCCCUUCACAAUAUUUUUUUCGCAUGACCUAUUCUUUAUAUAGUUUCUGCAAUUUUUUGUGUUUCAUGGAUACACAAUGCAGAUAAGGAGACGGCUAAGACAAGAAGCAAAAAGAUACAGUAGCUAAUAUAUCCAAAACAUACUUUGGCAUCAAUAUAUCUGCAAAUAUGUAUAUUUGUGUGGUAUCUUCAACAUCUCUGUAAAUAUGAUACCUGAUGCAACUUUUAUUGAAUAACUGUUACUCUAUACGUUCUUUCUAUUAUGGCAUGUGCCACACAUUAACCAUCUCAUUGCUUCAAUCCAAUUAGCUUUAUGUUUCUC
Lycium ferocissimum is the source of this 1651-nucleotide long non-coding RNA. RefSeq lists it as uncharacterized. The transcript has 2 exons. The record is from RefSeq and is a predicted model, not a curated record. NCBI's taxonomy places the organism in Eukaryota, Viridiplantae, Streptophyta, Magnoliopsida, Solanales, Solanaceae.